This is a long non-coding RNA of Vespa crabro (European hornet), 5935 nucleotides long. RefSeq lists it as uncharacterized. The transcript is spliced from 2 exons. Lineage: Eukaryota; Metazoa; Arthropoda; Insecta; Hymenoptera; Vespidae. The record is from RefSeq and is a predicted model, not a curated record.
UUAUAUUGAUUUUAAUUCUCUUUAUUUUCAUUAUGCAAAUACACAUACAUACACAUGCGCACACCCACACACACACACACACACACACACACACACACAUACAUACAUACAGAUAUAGAGAUAAUUUGAAUACCUUAAUUAAAUUCAAUUUUUUAAAUGCAUGGAACUGUCCUUUCUUAUCUCGAAUAUGAAUAAAUGAUUUAUAUAAAUUUCUGAUAAUUUUUCAUCAGACUUUGAUGUCUACGCCAAUGAGACACGCAGAGAGUUUGAACCUGCUCGGAGCCGAAAGCGGGUUGUACGGUAAUUGGAGAGCACAACGCCGGGGAACCACGCUCGCGUUUCUAAUGAGGCGACCGAGAACUUGACCCCCAACGAAUAGGAGAAUACCUAUCGUUCUUCUUCCCUAUGGAAGAUUUAUAUGGGAUUUUUUAUGAAAACUUCGACGAGCAAUUAGACAGAACGACCAGAAUGAGAUGAUAUUGCCUGGGUUAGAAUGAAUAAGAGAGAAAGGGCCAAAGAUAUCUCGUAGGGGAUUCUAACGCAACCCUUCAAUUACACACGUAGCGUACGUUUUUAUGCUGGCAGGUUUACUUUACGCCAUUAGCAAUUCGAUAUCCUCGAGAAUGGAAUACAAGUAAAAACUUCUUCUCGUAUCAUGUUAUCACUGUUAUCAAAAUAAUCGUUCGAUAAAGAUUCAUUUAUUCGUGUCCUUUUUUUUUUCUUUUUUUUUUUUUUUUUUUUUUUUUUUACAGAUAACGAAGAUUCUAGAGAAAACGAAAAAAUCAUUAUUAGUACGUUUUGUGUGGAAAGAAAAAUUCGUGGAAAUUUUUAGGAGUGCCUCUGUCAACUGAUCACCGACGAACUGCUCGUUUGCUCAACUCUCUUAUUUACGAAGCAUCCUCAGGGGCAACUUCAGAAGUUUACGCUUAAUCACGAAAUGGACUGGGAUUGGAAAUGGCAAACUCGCUUCUAUUUCUCUCUUCUCUCUCUCUCCUCUCUCUUUUCUCGUUUGUUGAUAUCUACGAGUUAGCAACGAACUGGUGGGGGAGAGUUUAGUUAGCGACACUCACGAGUUGUCAUUUUGCUUUGAAGUUGGCCGAGCAGAGCUCUUCUAGCUUGCUGCAACUCUUCUUCCCUUGAUCAUGCUUAUUAGCGAAAGUGGAAGAACGACUGGCGAUACGUCGAACUUGAGUUAUACAUUUUUUUUCUGCUCGAUACGAGAAAUCUCAUCUCUCGUGUUGGUGAAACGACGCGUAUGAACGACUUCGAUCGAACUAACUUUUCAAUAUCAGUACUAUUCACGUACGGUCUCUCUUUAUGGUGUCAUCCUCUUUAACCGCAUCCUCUUGGCUUCUCUCAUAGAGAGAAAGAGAGAGAGAGAGAGAGAGAGAGAGAGAGAGAUUUAGUUAAUACAUAUAUAUAUCCCGAAUAUUAAAUAACGCGAAAAUUGACUUAUUCCAUUUCUAAGUCUCUAACUCGCUUGUGAAAAUCUACAUUAAUCGAUAUUAUUAUAUUUCAUUUAUUCGAGAAAUUUUUGUCGUCGAAUCAUUUUUUUUUAUCCCGCUUAUCAUUUUGAUGAAUUAUCUUGGUUUUUUUCUUUUUUUUUUUUCUUUUCCUUUUUCUUGUUCUUUUUUUCUUUUUUUUUUUUUUUUUUUCUUUUUUUUUGUCAAAGAUUUCAAUCGUAUUCGUUUAAUAUUAACUCAACACAUUUUCAUAUGUAUUUUAUAUAUUAUUUUGAAAAUCCAAUGAGCUUACGAGCUUAUCAUUAAGAAAAGAUUUAGAACUGGUUUAAUGCGUAAAAAUUCGUUCAAGAAUAAUUUUCUACGAUAACGUGAGUUAAAGUAAUACUCGUAAUGGUCGUUUUAUGGUUCUUUUUAUUGUACACGAGACAGCUACUUAAAAGAAGUUUGUUGGACCAUAUAGUGUAUAUAUGCAAGACCAUUAUCGAUCGACGACGAAAUUUCUUGGAAUCGAGUUACUAAUUUAUCGUAUACGUACGUACCAUACGUUCGUCGAUAAAGAACUUGACCUUACGAGAUUGUUAUUACCAUAAUUUCAAGCGUUAAUAUUAAUAAAAUGAAAGAAAUCUUUGUCGAUUGAAUUAUUAUUAUUUUUUUCUUUUUUAAAUAAAUCUUAUUAAAAAAAAAAAAUUCCAGAUAAAUCGAGAAUAAUGAUGGAGAAAAAGGAGUGAAAAAUAGAAAUAUAGAAAAGAAAUUCGGAUCAUUGAAUAUAACAGAGCUAAACAUAGAGUUUCCGCUUGGUAUAAUAGAUCGAAUGGUGGUAUGGCAGAUGGCACGUGACUCAUACAUAAAACGUGGCCCGCAAGGCACCCUUCAGGGGUCAGGAAUGAUUCGUAAAUAAAUUAGCUCGCUAUCGGAACUCAAGAUAACGCGUUAUUUAUGGACCGCUCGUGACGGUGCACCCUUUUCACCUAAGCUACGAGGUAAAAGAAGAGUGGAAAAGGCCUGCAGACUAGGAGCAUCAGUAACAGCAAUAGCAAUAGUAAUAGUAGCAACAGCAUCAGCAGCAGCAGCGGUAACAACAGCAUCAGCAUCAGCCGUAGCAGUAGUAGUAGUAGUAGUAGUAGUAGUAGUAGUAGUAGUAGUAAUAGCAGCAGGUGGAGAAAAGCCUGGCUAUCGUGGUUGCUCCGUUUAAUGGGAUACAUGAAGGGCUCGAAUACCACGGGCUUGGCCAGGUGGAAUAAGCGAAGCCGCGGCUUUACCAUGUUCAACGCCUUUGACCUAAGCCGAUUUUCCAUCGAUAUAAUAUCAUGCGCGCGCGCACUCUUAUGUGUAUGUGUGUUAUUUAUAUAUAUAUAUAUAUAUCGCUAAUAUUUAAAGCUAACAUAAUCUAUCGAAAAUAUCUUGAGUAUGAUUCAAUGAACCGUUAAAUAUACCGUUUACGACUUAAUAGGAUCAAUAAUUUGCUAAUCUCCGUUAGAGAGAAAGAGAAAGAGAAAAAGAGAGAUUAGAUAUUAAUAGAUAAAAUUAUUAAAUUGAUUUACUCGAGUGUUAAGUGUUUUACGAUCGAGUACACUUAUAUAUCAUAUAAAAUAUCUAAAUCCUUUGACCAUGUAAAAAAAAAAAAAAAAAAAAGAUAUUGUUUGCGUUGUUGCGAUCUAUAUAUUUUUUUUUUCUUUUCUUAUUUUCUUUUUUCUUUUUUCUUUUUCUUUUUUUUUUUUUUCGUAUAUACCCGCUUUAGGAAGGUUCGUUAAUUGAUAGGUGGGCGUGGUGUGUUGUAUCUGGUUUGCUGAUCGAUACGCCAGGAAUACGGCCACGUAUUCCAUUUCCAAGUUUUAUCCUUGUUUCUUUCAUUUCUUCUUUUUUUUUUUUUUUUUUUUGUUUCUUCUUUUCUUUCUUUUUUCCUUUCUAUUUCAUAUUCUCGUAUUUAUUAUCGACUAUAUACAUUUUCUUCGUAAUAAUUAUUUCUUUUUCUGCUUAGGUAAAAGGAAGGUGUUUGACGGAGCAGAGAAAAUAAGGAGGUAAUAAUUCAAGAAAUAAAGGAUAGAAUGAGAAAGAGAGAAAGGAGACUUUGAAGGGUGCAGAAAAAAAAAAAAAAUCAAAGGCUUUUGGUGGUUCUUCUCGUUUUGUAAAAUAAGACCGAAAAUCCAAUAUAAAAGCAAUAUCUGAAGUGACACGGCGAACAGCACGACGGAGUUCCUCUCUCGCCCUAUCAACGGUACUUUCUCUCCUUUUUUUUUUAUCCACUUUACUUGCAUCUUUCUCUCUGUCUCUCUCUCUCUCUCUCUCUCUCUCUCUCUCACUCACUCUCUCUCUCUUUUUCUCUUCCUUUCUCUUUCUCUUUCUCUUACAUCAUACACCUAUAAUACUCUUUUCUUCCGUUUAGGAGACUUCCAAGCGCCCUCGAUUCGAGGAAGCAAUUUUCUUAUGGACGUCUGCAGCUCUUCGUCUAUUCGCUUUUACUUCUUAUAUAUAUAUAUAUAUAUGAGUGUGUGUAUGUAUAUAUAUAUAUAUAUAUAUAUAUAUAUAUAUAUAUAUAUAUAUAUGUAUGUACAUUCUCAACCUUCUCUCAUAUUUAUAUAUGUAUCUAUGUGAAAUAUGUAUAUAUUCACGCGUGAUAUGAUUUACGAGUUGCUUUCUUACCAAAUUAACAAGAUCGUUAAUUUGUGUUUUAAUCGCGUCGCGUCACGUCAAUUUUCUUUCCCGUUAUUUUGUAUUAAUUAAAUACAAUAUUUGUAAUUAUUGGAUUCUUAUUUGUCGGACUAACGUAGAACACGAUUUAUUUCUUAUCGUUAUUAAAAUAUUUCUUUCUGAUUAAUUUCUUUUUUUUUUUUCCCCCCUCUAUCGACAUGUUUUUUUUUUUCUUUCUUCUUUUAUCCGUACAAUCUCGAACAACAUAGAUUUCGAUGUUCGAAUAGCGGUCAUCGAGUAAGCUAAAUCGUACUCUCCUCGUGUUAUAUUUAGAAAUCUAUAUCGUUUUUCUUCCCCUACUCCUCUCAACAACAACGAGAAAAUCUUUAGUCUCGUCUAUGUCAGGGGGCGAGCGCGGGGGGGGGGAGUUGCAGGGAGAGACUCAUUUUAGCAACUUGAACUCAAUGUGAUUAUAAGUAAGAACGAGUAUUAGCUGAAAAUAUAUUAUUCGUUUAUUAAUUUAAAUAUUAGUAUUAAUUUUUUUUUCUUUUUUUUUUUUGUUUUUUUUUUUUUAUAUUUCUCUCGGUAUGUUUUCUCUUUUCGACAUUUCAAAUAUAUAAUCUGUCUAUGAGGAAAUUCAUAAAUAUAUGAAUUUAAGAAAUGAGUUAGUCAAUGUACGACGAGUCUAUGACAUAGUUAAUCAAUAUAUAAGUCUACGAAGAAGUUAGAAAUGAAUUAGAAAUAGUCGUAUGUUACAGAAUAGAAACUGAGUUUGUGAUUACUUCAUUCUCGUUUACGAAAGUUUUGGGAAAGAUCACGUGUGUUUCCGGUUAGUUCAAAGCCUCUCUCUCUCUCUCUCUCUCUCUCUCUCUCUUUCUCUCUCUUUCUGUGGGAUGGGAAAUACUUUUUCCUGACGGAUCUUCGCUUUUCCAUCAUUCGCACCACGAAGCUUCUUCCUCAAGCUUAUCCCAAGGGAAUUUAUCACCAUAAUUGCUUUCUUUUUUUUUCUUUUCUUUUCUUUUUUUUUUCUCUUUUUUUUUUUUUUUUUUUUUUUUUAGAUUGAAUUUCGUAAAAGCUAUAGAACGUUAUCCGCGAGAAGAAGUGACGUUAAACCUUUUAUAUAGAACUAUGAGAUAACUCGUUAGUCAAGAGAUAAUGAUGUUUUGUCGGUAUAUAUAAUUUCGUAUAUCAAUUAUAUAUAGUAUGUUAUAUAAUAUAUUAUGGUAUAAGUACAGUAUUGAGUAUAUUAUACUACGAUACAUCGUAUCGGUUAUGUAAUAAUAUAUUGUAGAUUUCGUUUGUAUUAUUCUUUUGGUGUUUUUCUUUUUUUUUUUUUUUUUUUUUUUCUCUCUUGUAGGAUUAGAAAAUAUAUAAUUAUUAAGAUGUUAAUUUGUAUUUACGAAUCUUUUAAAGGGAAGAAUAAUAAUAAGUAAUAGAAUUUUUUGUUUUUCGUUUUUUCUUUUUUUUUUUUUUUCGUUUUUCUUUCUCAGAUAGAUCCUUCUUUGUAUCUGUUUAAAAUCUCUUUCUCUUUUUGUCAGCGUUGCUUGCUGCUUGCUUUUAUCUUCGUUGGCUCGCGUCACUGUCGCGUUGGUAACGAGAUUUUAUCCAAAGCCGGCUACGUGUCAUUUACAUAUAUCGCCUGAAGGCGGCUUCUACCACACAGCUUUUUAUUUCUCUCUCUCUCUCUCUCUCUCUCUCUCUUUCUCUUUUUCUCUCCCCUCCUCUCUCUCUUUCUCAUCUCUUUACGGCGAUUUCGAGGGUGCGCUAGGAGAUGGCCGUCGAUUUACAUUUACAAGCAAGACUUUUGCGAAAAGGAACUGAUACGAAUUUAACUGGGCAAGAAA